Molecule: long non-coding RNA, 704 nt
Filed under: Cricetulus griseus (Chinese hamster)
Lineage: Eukaryota; Metazoa; Chordata; Mammalia; Rodentia; Cricetidae
Description: lncRNA (ENSCGRG00015038453.1)
Source: RNAcentral
UGGCGAUAGGAAGCGGACAGACAGAUAGGAACUGUCUGCUCUUGUGGGAGAUGGCUGCAGAGCGCCGUGACCGGUGCCAGCCCGGAAGCCGAACCGCCCUACCGAGCCCUGAGGGCGACCACAGAAACCCGUCCAGACACACUGAACACAGCAAAGCAGGCGCCUUCCCACACACACCUCCCCGGGUCCUCUGCGACCUUUGGUCUCUUGAGUUUUCAAAACUCUGGAAACCUCUACAGCAGUUAGAAAUCAGGAAUGUUUCUGUAAAAGCAGAGCACUCUACUCGUGCGGUAGCGCCUGUCAUCCGGCCAAGGAGGAAGCAAGAGGAGCAGCUGCACCAGUAGAAUUAAACGUGUAGAAUUAAGCGUGUCCCCCUAGUGCUCUGCACAGGAAGAAAGUCCUCCACCUGACCGCAGGCAGCAGGCCGGCCUCCUACAGGAAAAGCAAAGCCCACUGGUGAUGCCCAAUGUCUCUGCAGCACCAUAGGAGGAGGCCCGAGGCUGCCGUGUCACCUGAGAGAGAGUGUGGGGUCAGCCAGGCCUACAUCUGAGACCAUGUCUAGAGACAAGGGAGGAGCUCCCUCCAAGCCUUGGACUCCAGCUGGUGACACUACUUUAGAAACCUUAAGAGGGAAGCCUAAUCAAAGGAGAAGAAAAACUUUGGACACCAUCAAAGUUGAUCAAGAUUCAAGUUGAAAAAGCAAA